AAAUGUUUUUGGCAUCAGCUCCUUGAACUCCAAAGUCAGACAAUUUUAUAACAGUAGAACCAGUAGCAAUAAUCAAACUUUGAUACUUAAAAAUUUUCCCAGAAGCACUCCUGAGGGUCUUGGCAGAAAGAUUUGCUUCAAUAAUUUCUGUACUAAGAAUCAACUCGAUCCCUUUUUCCUUGUACCACUCUGGAAGCAGCCUCUCCCCCCCACUUCCUACACAUACAUGGAACCCUGGUAAUCUA
This 245-nucleotide unclassified non-coding RNA is filed under the name Hevea brasiliensis (rubber tree). Lineage: Eukaryota; Viridiplantae; Streptophyta; Magnoliopsida; Malpighiales; Euphorbiaceae. The record is from RNAcentral.